UAAGAUAAAACUUGAAAGGUUAUAUAAAUUGCAUAGCCAUCAGAGAUAUACAUGAUGAAGAUGGGGUGGACACUAGUUUGGUUAAUUCGAUAUCCAAACUGAUUAAUGUUAAACGGUUUGGAUUAGUUUGAGUUUUUUAACAUUUUUUACAUCUCUCAAACCAAAAUAAUAAAAUAAAAAACAAGAAAAAAAAAAAACAAAAAAGCUAUGGAAAACUUGCAUGUCCCCAAACCUAUGGUUUGUAGCAAGGAGGGGUUUUCUGAUGCAGAACUGCCGAGAUAAGGAUCAUCAAAUCGAAUAUCUUCCUCCAUACUGCCUUCUUUAAAUAUAUGGAAUCCAGUUACUUUAAUGAGUGAGCCAUCUAAGUCUAACAAACCUCUUUCUCUUUUUCUUUUUUCAUACGCUAACACACCUGGAUAUCUAACCUCCACAUGGUUCCAUUCUUUUUCCCAAGCCAUUUCUUCAAACCGAUUAUCAUUUUUUAUAGCGAACGCAUGGAGAUCAAAGAUAUAUGUAUGAUCGAUAUCCAAUUUCAACAUACUUUGUAUAUCGUCCCAUAAAUAGUAGUGCCAAAAUUCUUGAAAUUUGCUAUUGAUGAACACCUCGAGUUUAAGGAAAGGAUACCCGGCACCCGACACAGGUGCAAUAAGAAGACAAAGAAGUUUGGCAGGGAAUUUAUUACGAAACCAGAAAGAACUUGAAUGUCCACUGCUUUGCUGAUUGAACCACUCUGGUAUUCUUGUUCCUGGAAACAUAAACUUGGUUCCUCCAGCCUCAUACAGUUCCUGUUAGUCAUAAUUCAUAAAGAAUUCAUAAGCUUAACAACAUUAAGUGCACCAUCAUCAAAUCAUAUACAUUAUAAAAAGACAAUACCUGAUUUAGAAGCAUGCUUUUACUCGAGGAAGUCAAGGAUGCACAGUUUAUUGCCCUGAAAUCUUUUAAGUUUGGUGGAAGCCCUCUAAUUUUCUGAAGAUGCUCGCAAUCACUCACAUCAAGAGUUCUUAAAAAUUUCAGUUCUUUGAAGAAUUCGGGAAGGAUUGUGAAAUUAUUCCCCGAUAGAUCUAAAUAUUCUACAUGAGUAAACCUCUUGGAACCUGUUAAAAAAAAAUCAUCACAUAGAUUGCAAUUCAUGGCACGAAACCAACGUGCCUUUGAAGAUAGUAUUGAGCCCACUUUUUCUUCACCUUCUUCCGAUUCUACCCAUUGCCACCUGUUGCAAUAUUCAAUAUGGAGUUGAAACAAUUCGGGCAUCAUCACUAAUCUGCAUGGUAACUCAACAAUUAAACAGCUCCACAGGUAUAACACUUGAAGUCCAAUAAGAUUUUGAAAUGAAAAUGGCAAUUCUUUUAUGGGAAGGUCUCUCAAAACAAGUUGCUUUAUGUUUUCCAUCUCUCCUAAUAUUUCUGGAAAAUACUCAAGACUGGAACACCCAGAAAGUUGAAGUGUUUCAAGAGAGGUCAAGUUGAGAGGAGGAAAACUUGUAAGCUUCCUGCAACCAUAAGCAUUCAAUUUUUUAAGUUUAUUCAGAAAACCAAUUGAGUCAUCAACUGCAACUAAACUCUCACACCCUUUAAAUGAAAGUUCCCUCAAAUUUGGGAGAUCAGAUACAUCAGGUAUCUGUGUUAAAAAUUUGCAGUUGUCAAACUUCAAAACUGUUAGAUGCCCGAACUUCUGCAAAGGAAAAAAAAAGAAGAAAAGAAAUAAGAAGGAAUGAAUAAAUUUAUAGUGAAUUUAUUAAUUCACUGGAUGAGGAAAAUAUACUGUAUAAACUUGCCUUCGAUGAGCCAUGAAACUCAAAUGACGCCAUGGAACUGUCAGGUAACUUGCAUAUAAGAAGGUUGUUCGGAUGAAAGUUAGAUGGUAAACACUUUGAAGGAUAUCUGUGCCAUUCCAGUACUCUCAAACCUUCUGGAAAAUAAUUGGGACCUUUGGAAAAUUUGCCAUUUCUAAUAAUAAGGAUUUUAAGGUUUUCCAUCUUCAUGAAGGCGUUUUGGUUCCAUUCCACUGUCUGUUCUUUGUCAGAUAUGGAGAAAUCCAGACAUAUGAUUUCAAUCUUACUAGUUCCCUGUUAAUUCAAAAUAGCACGAAUCAACCACAAUACAACUUAUGUGAAAUAUCAAUUGACUGAAACGUUUAGAUAAAUUUACAAAUUAUCAAGAAAAAGUUAACUAUGAUGUAAAUAUGAGAUAGACCAAAAAAAAUUCAACUAUUCAUGAGCUCACUCACCGUGUUGUGUUUUAAAACUUGAAUUAUAUCUUUUGGUAACCAUAAUCUCUUGCACUUCCCUGGCUCUUCAGGUGAUAUCUGCCGCUCAAUUUCUCUACCCACAACCUGAAUUAGGUCAUGCAUAUUUACUGUACCAUGCCUAACCUUUAUGAGAGAUUUGUCAACCAACACAUCAAUAUGAUGUUUCAUGCAGUUAUUGUAAAGACCACGUAGCAUAUGUUCAACCUCUGUCAAUUUGCAUCCUUUGAAGCAACAAGCAAUGUCAAGGAAAACAUUCUUUUGUUCUUCCCCCAAAGCAUCAAAGCUUACUUUUAGAAUUUCUAGGAUUUCAUCAUUGGGAAUUCUUUUAUAAUGUUCCACAGCAGAUUUCCAUUCUGCUACCCUUUUUCCAAACAUGUUGGAACCUAUGACUUCCAAAGCCAAUGGAAGGCCAGAAGCAUAAGUUACUACACGAUUCAAAACGUCCUCAUAACUUGGAUCAAUUUUUUCUCUUUUGAAAGCAUUCCAUGUAAGCAAUUGUAGAGCAGCAUUCUGAUUCAAAACCUCCACCUCAUAUCUUUUUUUAACCCCAUGAGGUGCUAGCAGUUGUUUGUCCCGAGUGGUGAUGAUGAUUAUGCUGCCAGGACCAAACCAAUCACGUCGUCCAGCAAUUGUCUGUAAUUGCUGGGGCUUGUCAACAUCGUCCAGAAUCAAGAGAACCUUCUUCCCCUUAAGCAUAGACUGGAUCUUUGAAAUUCCUUGUUGCUUACUUCUUACUUUGAUGUCCUCUCCAAGUAUUUCUGAAAGAAGAAUGCUUUGGAGGUGUUGUAACCCAUGAUUGUUUGAACUUUCUCUCACGUUUUCAAGAAAACACAAACCAUCAAAAUUCUCAGUAAUUAUUAAAUCAUUAUAGACAGCUCGAGCAAGAGUUGAUUUUCCUAUCCCACCCAUUCCGUGGAUCCCUAUCAUGCAGACACCAUCAUGGUUUCCAACAUCCAAAAGCUUCCUUACUUCUUGUACUUUUGACUCUAGUCCAACAGGCAGAUCCGCAACAUGUAAACUAGCAGGGUUAAUCUUCUCAGAGACCGAUGCAACAAUUCUCCCAAUAAACUUGUAUUCAUAUUCAUCUCUAUCUCAAACAAAAAAGUUUCAAUGAAAUUAAACUAAAAGCCUAGUAUCCAUGCCCUGAUAAGUCCAUACGUGUAUCGACAAGGUUAACACAUAUUUCUUUUCUCUUUAAAUUUGAACAUUAAAUUGUCAGACAAGUAAAACUUAAUCCAAUAAAAAAUAAAAAAUAAAAAGAAAGGUAUGGUUGGGUACCUAUCUUUGAAAUGAAGGCCAGACAAGUUGGCUACUUGACGCAGAGCCCUCUCCCAUUUCUGCAACUUGUCUGGAAAUCUUUUCUUAUGCUUAGCCAAUGCUUCUCCAUAAGUACCUUUCUGGUGUCUGACAUCACAAGGAUAGACCUUAUAAAAGACCGGUAUAACCAUCAUCCCAUUAUACUGGGCGCAGAAAAGGAUGGUUGCAAGUUCAUCCAAGCAAAAUGAGGAAGAAGCAAAGUCUUCAGAGAGCACAGUGAUGGCAAUCCUGGAAUCUUGAAUUGCCUUCAAAAGUGCUGGUGUUAUUUCCUCUCCACUGUGAAGCUUGUCUUCGUCAAAGAAGGUAUGAAUUCCCUUGUCACAAAGAGCCUUGUAGAGAUUGCCAGUAAAACCAUAGCGUGUGUCUUCCCCUCUGAAGCUGAGGAAAACAUCGUAGAUUGAUGCACGAGAACGUGUUGCCGCAGCCAUUAUUAGAAGAAAAAAGUUUAGUAUGGUUAUGGUUGAUAUGGUAGGAGGUAGAAUGAAACUUGAACAAAUAUGAAAAUGAUAGUAUACCAAAUGCUGUGUAUUAUAAAGAAGAUAGCCGCCUUUGUGGAAAAUAUCUUGUUUUUUUUCAUUCUCUGUUAUAAAAAGUCAAGCUCUUAUAAAGAAAGAUGCUCUCACUUUUUUCAUUUUAAAAAAUACUUUUUAUAAUCAAAUUCUUACAAAUAAACUAUAAAAAGUAUUUUUAAUAACUGGUAUUUUAUUUAAAAUAAUUAACUGGUGGUACUACUAAUUCUCCCGCCCCUAAAAGAAUUGUUAGAGAAUCAAAGUAUAUAUUAACUAAUAAGUAAUCUGAUAAUUUUUAAUCACAAAGAGCCUCAAAAUUUGUCUUUUAUUAAAACAGAGUAAAAAUAUAAGUGAGAGACGAAAAUAGAGAAGAGAUAGAAUACGAGAAAAAAGUUAUGCAUACUCGAAGCGUAAUUUUUUUUACAUAACUAAGAAUCCAUUCAAAUUCACUGAGUAUCACUGAAACUAACGCUCUAGAAUCCAUUAAAAUUACUAGGUCAUAUUGUCAGAGUAACUGGAAUUCCGUAUCUCACAAAAUCUUAAAACAACCAGCUAUGUUUUCAUCCAAGACAAACCUUAUCAUGAUAAUGAAUAAGAAGUUUAGAUAGAUCAUAUAGUAGUAUGCUAGCUAAGUCCUAAGAAGUACACUUUCAAAAUUUAACUAAUUUAAGUUUUUCUCCUUUCUGAUCAAAUUAUUUAGCAUAACCAGUAGGAACCUGAUCAUCCUAGCAAUUAGAAGGGAGAAAGUAGAACCUGCAAAAAUAAAAAAGUUAAAGAUAUAAAUUUGUAUUGACUUAAAUAUUUAAAAUGAAUAAAUAAUCAAUUUUCUUCCUAAAAGUAUGAGGCAGUAUGCAGUGUCAAUUUAAUCCCUAAAAGUAAUAAAAUAAAGGAGAAAAAAUCUCCAAUGUCCUUACCGUAUCACUUUAGUUCCUAAACUUAACUUAUUGUCAUUUGGUCCUUAAGAUAUGCUAAUUUUUUUUAUUUUAAUAAGUCACACAACAUUUAGAAUUUUGGAUUAAAAUAAGUGACAACUUGCAUUUCCAAAGAACUUUUUUUUUAUCUAACCUAAAAAAAAUACCUUUUUAUCAUUUUAUUACGUUCAGGAGCUCAAGUGGCCACGUCCCGCAAUUUCAGGAAAAAAAAUGACAUUUACUUAUCUAUUUGACAUGUUCUUAUAUCUAACUAAUAUGAUAUUAAUAAUCUUUUGUAAACUUCGAUAUUUUAACGUGAAUGCUAGUUUAGUUGACUUUUUGCUCUUAAAUUUACAAUUUUAGUUAUUUGAUAAAAAAAACAUUAUUCCAUUAUCAUGCCUCAAGUUAAACUAAGUUAGAAAUAUAUUUAAAACACUAUAUAUUACUAAAAGUUUUAUGUUCUGUUUAUAUGACUGAAAUAUAUUGUCAAUAAAAAUACAAACAUAAAUUAAUUAAUUACUAUUCAUAUUUUUUAUCAAAAUUAAAAUUUUCAAAUGUACUUUUAGAUCACAUAUACUAAUAUUAGUAGUAUAAAAAAAAUUGUAAUAUAUUAUUAAAUAAGUAUACAAAAAAAUUACAAAUAUAUUUUUAUAUUGUUUUAUAGUAGAACUUGUAAGGGAAAAUCUAAAACUAAACAAAAAGCAUAUUAAAUAAUUUUUUUACUUUCUUUUAAUUACAGUGUAUAUAUAAGAUAGAUAUAUUUUUUACUUACUAAAACUAAACACAAUUUUGAUAUCUGUUGGUUUAUGUAGUUUUGAAAUCUGACUAUAAAAAUAUAUAGAAAGUUAAACUUGAAAGGUUGCAUAUAGAAAAGGUUAUAUAUAGAAAAUACAUAUAGUCGUGAAAGAUGAAUAUAAAUGAGUCAAAAGUACAUGAUGAAGAUAGGGCGAACAGCAGUUGGGUUAAGUCAAUUUUUGAUAACUGAAACCAAAAUAAUAAAAUAAAAAACAUGAAAAAAACAAGAAAAAAGCUAUGGAAAACUUGCGUGUCCACAGAACUAUGGUUUGUAGGAAGGAGGGGUUUUCUGAUGCAGAACUUCUGAGAUAAGGAUCAUCAAAUCGAAUAUUUUCCUCCAUACUGCUUUCUUCUUUGAAUAUAUGGAUUCCAGUUGUUUUAAUGACUGAGCUCUCUAAGUCUAACACACCUUCUUUUCUUUUUUCUUUUUCAAACGAUAAUACACUUUGAUAUCUAACCUCCACAUGGUUCCAUUCCUUUCCCCAAGCCACUUCUUCAAACAGAUUAUUAUUUUUGAAACGUAAAUCUUGGAGAUCAAAGAUAUAUGUAUGAUCCAAUUUCAACAUACUUCCUAUCUUCUUACUUCCAUAAUAGAGCGGAAAUUUUAGAAUUUUUCCAUUGAUGAACACCUUUGGAUUAAGGACACCAAUCCCAGUAGACACAGGUGCAAUAAGAAGACAAAGAAGUUUGGCAGGGAAUUUAUUACGAAACCAGAAAGAACUUGAAUGUCCACUGCUUUGCUGAUUGAACCACUCUGGUAUUCUUCUUCCUGGAAACAUAAAACAGGUUCCUCCAGCCUCAUGCAGUUUCUG
Molecule: long non-coding RNA, 6591 nt
Filed under: Glycine max (soybean)
Lineage: Eukaryota; Viridiplantae; Streptophyta; Magnoliopsida; Fabales; Fabaceae
Description: long non-coding RNA (GMAX_LNC003781)
Source: RNAcentral